AGCUACAUCUGGCUACUGGGUCUCA
Molecule: non-coding RNA, 25 nt
Filed under: Drosophila melanogaster (fruit fly)
Lineage: Eukaryota; Metazoa; Arthropoda; Insecta; Diptera; Drosophilidae
Also listed under: 8 other names
Source: RNAcentral